UUGCUCUUCUUGGAUGAGUUGCGAACGGGUGAGUAACGCGUAGGUAACCUGCCUUGUAGCGGGGGAUAACUAUUGGAAACGAUAGCUAAUACCGCAUAACAAUGAAUGACUCAUGUCAUUUAUUUGAAAGGGGCAAUUGCUCCACUACAAGAUGGACCUGCGUUGUAUUAGCUAGUAGGUGAGGUAACGGCUCACCUAGGCGACGAUACAUAGCCGACCUGAGAGGGUGAUCGGCCACACUGGGACUGAGACACGGCCCAGACUCCUACGGGAGGCAGCGGUAGGGAAUCUUCGGCAAUGGGGGCAACCCUGACCGAGCAACGCCGCGUGAGUGAAGAAGGUUUUCGGAUCGUAAAGCUCUGUUGUAAGUCAAGAACGAGUGUGAGAGUGGAAAGUUCACACUGUGACGGUAGCUUACCAGAAAGGGACGGCUAACUACGUGCCAGCAGCCGCGGUAAUACGUAGGUCCCGAGCGUUGUCCGGAUUUAUUGGGCGUAAAGCGAGCGCAGGCGGUUUGAUAAGUCUGAAGUUAAAGGCUGUGGCUCAACCAUAGUUCGCUUUGGAAACUG
Molecule: ribosomal RNA, 569 nt
Filed under: uncultured bacterium
Lineage: Bacteria
Description: bacterial SSU rRNA
Rfam family: Bacterial small subunit ribosomal RNA
Source: RNAcentral